This is a long non-coding RNA of Fukomys damarensis (Damara mole-rat), 373 nucleotides long. NCBI's taxonomy places the organism in Eukaryota, Metazoa, Chordata, Mammalia, Rodentia, Bathyergidae. The record is from Ensembl.
CAGGAAAACAAGUGCAUGGACCUGCAGGACCAUACACCUUCCACACAAUUUGGGCAGCCAAUGUCAGAAAAAUCACACUGGUAGAAAUUUCCGUUUUCAAACAAGGAAAUGUUUAUCCAGCUCUUGAGAGAAAUUUGUGCCUGGAGGAAGAUGAGCACACAGGACCAGCAUGGGGCACAGCUCCUUCCUGCGUACCUCACCAGCAGACUUUGUGGCCAUCCUAUAUAAGGAAAGAGGUGGGCAGAACCAAUGAAAGACUCCAGACCUGGCAAGGAACUAAGAAGACUGACUUUGUGGAAUCCUUGAAAUUGGGAGAGGCAGAAGGACACUGAAGGUGUGCAGAGGAAGACUUGCAGACAGCCACAUACCGACA